RNAcentral lists this ribosomal RNA (576 nucleotides) under uncultured bacterium. RNAcentral's name for it is "partial 16S ribosomal RNA". It matches the Rfam family "Bacterial small subunit ribosomal RNA", at positions 355 to 922 of the family's 1533-position model. The record is from RNAcentral.
UGGGGAAUUUUGGACAAUGGGCGAAAGCCUGAUCCAGCAAUGCCGCGUGUGUGAAGAAGGCCUUCGGGUUGUAAAGCACUUUUGUCCGGAAAGAAAUCCUCUGGGUUAAUACCUCGGGGGGAUGACGGUACCGGAAGAAUAAGCACCGGCUAACUACGUGCCAGCAGCCGCGGUAAUACGUAGGGUGCAAGCGUUAAUCGGAAUUACUGGGCGUAAAGCGUGCGCAGGCGGUUUUGUAAGACGGAUGUGAAAUCCCCGGGCUUAACCUGGGAACUGCAUUCGUGACUGCAAGGCUAGAGUAUGGCAGAGGGGGGUAGAAUUCCACGUGUAGCAGUGAAAUGCGUAGAGAUGUGGAGGAAUACCGAUGGCGAAGGCAGCCCCCUGGGCCAAAUACUGACGCUCAUGCACGAAAGCGUGGGGAGCAAACAGGAUUAGAUACCCUGGUAGUCCACGCCCUAAAACGAUGUCAACUAGUUGUUGGGGAUUCAUUUCCUUAGUAACGUAGCUAACGCGUGAAGUUGACCGCCUGGGGAGUACGGUCGCAAGAUUAAAACUCAAAUGAAUUGACGGGGUCAU